Molecule: ribosomal RNA, 622 nt
Filed under: uncultured bacterium
Lineage: Bacteria
Description: bacterial SSU rRNA
Rfam family: Bacterial small subunit ribosomal RNA (bases 1-538)
Source: RNAcentral
CCUACGGGAGGCAGCAGUGGGGAAUUUUGGACAAUGGGCGCAAGCCUGAUCCAGCCAUGCCGCGUGUGGGAAGAAGGCCUUCGGGUUGUAAACCACUUUUGUCAGGGAAGAAACGGCUCUUACUAAUAUUAGGGGCUAAUGACGGUACCUGAAGAAUAAGCACCGGCUAACUACGUGCCAGCAGCCGCGGUAAUACGUAGGGUGCAAGCGUUAAUCGGAAUUACUGGGCGUAAAGCGUGCGCAGGCGGCUUUGCAAGACAGAUGUGAAAUCCCCGGGCUCAACCUGGGAACUGCAUUUGUGACUGCAUGGCUAGAGUACGGUAGGGGGGGAUGGAAUUCCGCGUGUAGCAGUGAAAUGCGUAGAUAUGCGGAGGAACACCGAUGGCGAAGGCAAUCCCCUGGACCUGUACUGACGCUCAUGCACGAAAGCGUGGGGAGCAAACAGGAUUAGAUACCCUGGUAGUCCACGCCCUAAACGAUGUCAACUGGUUGUUGGACGGCUUGCUGUUCAGUAACGAAGCUAACGCGNGAGUGCGCCGNGGGAGGUAACGGCCGCGAGUUAGUAACGUUACGAAGAAGUUAGACGGCGNGAGAGNGCGACGGACGACGACGAGGGAGGAGG